RNAcentral lists this long non-coding RNA (185 nucleotides) under Junco hyemalis (dark-eyed junco). RNAcentral describes it as "lncRNA (ENSJHYG00000002587.1)". The record is from RNAcentral. Lineage: Eukaryota; Metazoa; Chordata; Aves; Passeriformes; Passerellidae.
CGUGGGACAAUUAGUAAAUCUUUCAAGCAAUUGCUCUCCAGACCCAGUGAAUGGAUCUCUGUCCGUACCAAUGUAACUGAUCAGCAGUGCUCCAGCUACAUGAAAUGGAAGUGUUAAGGUGCAGCUUGUGCCAGGACUGUGGCAUGGUUAUGGAAGAGGUUUUUGCAGCCAGAAUAUUGGUGUAA